Molecule: long non-coding RNA, 1093 nt
Filed under: Homo sapiens (human)
Lineage: Eukaryota; Metazoa; Chordata; Mammalia; Primates; Hominidae
Description: novel transcript
Source: RNAcentral
CAGAGACAGGUACUAGCGAUUCCACUGGGCGCUAUAGGCAGGGCGCACUCACCGAACUCCCCAAUCCCUUCCAGCCUCAGAGCCCGCCUGGCAGGACUACUGAGCAAGGCCUUGGAAAAUCGGAGCGAUUAGAGCGAAGUGCUUCGGUCAGGCAGUAUCUUUGAAAAUAAUUUGGCCAAUGAAAGCCCUGGCAUUGGAUGAAAGUGCUAGCUGCUGGGAAUGCUACCCCUCCUUUUGGUUCUCUUUCAAGUCCUUCAGGUUCAAACAAUACAGAAGUGUAUAAAGUAAGAAUUGAAAGUCUCUUCGCUGCUCUAAUCUCACUCCUCAGAGGUGAUCACUGUGUGGAAGAUGAUCAAAGUAUGACAUUUCUUCUACCCCAGAGGCUGGCAUUUCUGCAGGCACAAAUGAGCUUGGUUUUCAAGCACUGCUCUUUGAACACAAGGAAUUCCUUUAAUGAUCACGCCGGACUAUAUAGACUUUGGAAUCAGACUCUUUGAAUUCCAGCUCUGCCAUUUACCAACUUUGACACUUUGGACAACGUCUCAUUCUGUCACCCAGGCUGGAGUGCAGUGGCACAAUUAUAGCUCACUGCAGCCUCAAACACCUGGGCUCAAGCAAUCCUUCCACCUCUGCCUCCUGAGUAAUUGGGACUACAGGCAUGUGCCACCACACCCAGCUAAUUUUUAAUUUUUAAUUUUUUUGUAGAGAUGGCGGUCUUGCUAUGUCACCCAGGCUGGUCUUGAACACCUGGCCUCAAGUGAUCCUCCGGCCUUGGUCUCUCAAAGCUCUGGGAUUACAGACAUGAGCCACUGCACCCGGCUCUAUCUCCCCUUCCUAUGUGUGUUAGCUCUAGAACAAGAGAAGCCUUGUUGAGAUUCCUGGCUGCCCACCCCCCAUCACCUCUCUGACUUUGGGCAAGUUGCCUGGCCUCUCUCAGCCUUUAUUUUCUUUUUGUGAAAUGGGGAUAAUAAUAGUACUUGCCUCAUAGGCAAAAUGUUGUGAGAACUAAACGAGAAAAUGCAUGUAAAGCACUUGGCACUUAGUUCUUUUUAUGAUUAUAAUGAUAAUCAGACACAAUAAAUUAUGUCUCACA